CACCACCAAGAUUGACCCCUACUGAUCUCUACCCUCAGCACUGAUCAGUACUUUCAAAGUACUACAUUUAUCGCUCUAUUUAUCUGGCACUGUCCUGCUGUUCAUAAAAUCUUGAUAUUAGUUCCAGUCUUUGAAUUUGCUGUCAGAAAGUUUGAUGAUGUUUUUUUCCGCUCAUGUAAAGACUAUUUUCAAAGCCGUGUUUCUGCUCUCGGCCCGUUGCUGGAGGGCAGAGCAGAGUGCUGGGACGGCGCUUCUUUAUGCAAAGCCACCCGUGCAACAGGACAGCUUCUGGAAAGGUCCCUUGGAGCAAUUCGCCAAUGGCCCAAAUAUGAAAUUGGGAUCUUAUUCAGGAAUAUCUAAUAUUUAUUGUUCUGGAAUAUCUAAUAUUUAUUGUCCAGGAAUAUCCACAAAAUCCCGUCCGGAGCUGCUGCCCCUCCUGCCCCCGCCCAGCUGACGAAACCCAGCGACAGCCACGCAACCACCACCAAGUGUCGUCAAGCAAAAAUAGUCUUUAUUCCACUUUCAUGGAAACAGGAGUCACUGCACUUUGCAAGACAGGGAAAAAUAAAAUAAAAAAUCUUAAUAUAAAACAAGGAUAUUGUCACAAUACCAUAUAUGGAACUAUACUUUUCCCUAUGGAUUACUGCAAGUACCUAUUUUUUUUCCUUUAGACUGUACUAUUCACAACUUUGUGAGCCCAAAACCAAAAGUAGUAUGAACUGAAGACUUAGCACUUCCACUAAUGUUGUACAUCGAGGGGCAAAGACUGUUGAAGCCAUCGUACCUACCCAACCGUCCUCCCGUCAGCCCACCGAGGUGCAGCGCUCCCUCUCUGCAAGGCUUUUCCCGGCAAACAGGGCGAUUCUGGUGCUCCAGGAAGAGCGAUAUUUAAAGAGAGCCUUUCUGUCGGACAGAAGUGAGCUGAACAGCCCUGCGCCAGCGAGCACAGCGCGGAGGGAGCAGCGCAGCUCACGGCAGACACACCGCCAGGGUUGUUCAGAAUAUACAGCAUCGACGUUUCUACUUCAAUCACUUGCGCUACAACUACUGAACAUGUACAAAAGACUUUUCUGACCGUUCCAGCAAGAUUAGGAUCUGGAGCGAGACCUUGACCGUGAUCGGGAGCGUGACCUAGAGGCAGACCUAGAUCUAGACUUGGACCGGGAUCUAGGCUUUGAAAUAGACUUGGACCUGGAACGAGAAUCUGAUUUGCCACAUGGUUUUGACUUGGAAAUGGACCUAGACCUGGAGUGAGACACCCGGUGCGCAGCUCCAUCCUCGCCCUCCCCUCUCCCCUCUUUUUUGUCAGAAUCUGGUUUUGGACGCUCCUUUUCCUUGGAGGCUGACCUGGACCGCUCGCGGCUGUCCUUCCUUUUCUUCUUGCUACUCGGUUUGCCGUCUCGCUUGCUGCGCCUCUUGCUUUUCUGGCUCUUGCUGCGGCUCCUGCUCCUACUUCUGCUCUCAUCCCUGCUCCUCUUCCUGCCUUUCCUUUGAUCCUUGCUGGGGCUCCUGCUCUCGUCCCUGCUCCCGCUCCUCGCGCCCUCCCUCGCCUGCCCCCUGUCCUUACUCCCGCUCCUACUCUUCUCCUUGCUGCGACUCCUGCUCUCUGCUUUCUCAUCGCUGUUAUGGAGAGCGCCCUCAGAUUUGUCUUUACAUUUGUUUCGGGACGUCUCUGCGCUCCUGCUGCGGCUCCUACUUUUAUCCUCUUUACUUGGAGUCCUGCUUUUCUCUUUUUGGCCUCUGCUACAGCUCUUGCUUCGACUACGGCUCUUGCUUCUGGAACGGGACACAGACCUGAAAGCAAAAAGGCAGGAGACAGCUCCACUUUAAUGUGGCUUGGAUUUGACUAGCUCUUAGAUACUGUGCAUAAUAUGGCAGGGAAAAACAGUGUUCCUACUGCAAAUCUAGGAUGCUGCUUCUCAUUUAAGUGGGUAGCCCCCAUUUCUUCCGCCACAGAGACAUACCUGGAUCUUGAUCUACUCUUGGAGCGACUACUACUGGCACUGCGGCUCCUGCUCUUAUGAGAAUGUCUGCUGCGCGAGCGAGACCUGGAACAAAAGCAACCAGCGUCACGUUAGCGCGUGCCCGCGGGAGCUUGCGACCCGCGCGGGCGAAACCCACAGUGCUAAAGCGCCUUGCACGCAGCUGAACGGUGAGAGCGUUACACAGGGAAGUCAGACUCGGGGCGCCCUUCUCCCCACCGCUCCUCCCCUGCGGCCGCGUCUGGAAGUGAGCAGGCUGCUAAUCCGGGAGGAAACACGCGCCCUUAUUUGAGAUAAGGAAGCAAAACCUCUUUCAAGUCAGAGCUUGGAUACAGUGAGAGCCUGGGACAGAGCUCUGACUGCAGGCUUUGGUUUAAUGUCCCACGAACAGCAGGAGUUUGCCUGAGUUUUCUCAUGACAAGUUCUACCCCCGAAUGCAGUGUGGUGUGCUGAAGCAGCUCUCGAUCCUAUAAUGAAAGCAGCGAAUCUCUAAGAAACAGGGAACAGGUGAAGGUUUCCAAGCUGAGAAGGAACUGUUAGUCCUGGUGCUUAUAUCAGAACACAGUGUUCAGAGCCAAAGCGUUAAAAGCACCUUCUGUUUCAUCCUGCAGGCUCAGCCGCACCUGCCGGGCGGCCUCAUCCUGCGCGAGCUGCGGACCAGCCGCGCCGGGACGAGCGGCACGGUGCGGGGGCUCGCCCAGCACCCUCUGAACAGAGGCCUCGUUGCUCUCGGUUACUUCUGGCAACUCACAAAUCCUCAGAAACUAGAUUUACUGAGGACUCUGAACUCCUCCAGUAUUUAUGUAAUUGCAGCUAGAUUCGGUCGGAGCUGCUUCAGAGGGAGACGUACCUUGAGUGGCUUCGGCUUCUGGAGUAAGAGCGGCGCCGCCUCGACCCAGGUCUGUCUUCCACUAAUCUAAUCUUUCUGCCAUUUACUUCUGUCCCGUCCAGCUUUUCAAGGGCUCUUUUCAUGUCAGAAUAGGAUUUGAACUCAAUCACACCUUCAUUUUUCCUUCCUUUGUGUGCAUCUGCAUAUGUCACCUCCCCUGCCUGACGCAUGUAAUCCUGGAGGGAGAGGACAGAACAACCAUCGCCUCGAAUCCAGAGCCGGGCUCCCACUUCUGCAACAACGCCCGCUUAAACCUCCUCUGCUCACACGGAUGUCAGCGAGGGUUUAACCAAAGCGCUUUUGCCAAAUAACACACCAGGACUUCACCGACUCUGUGCGAUUAGAAUCAAGGUGGUGCCGAUAGUUUGGAACCAAAUGAUAAUUUAAGGUCUCCCAUCUCACGUCUAAUAGCAAAUAUGCUCUGGACUAAAAGUUUCAAAGCAAAGAAGCGAUUAAAGAAAUAAAACGCUUGCUCUCUAAA
Columba livia (rock pigeon) is the source of this 3352-nucleotide long non-coding RNA. RefSeq lists it as uncharacterized. The transcript has 2 exons. The record is from RefSeq and is a predicted model, not a curated record. Lineage: Eukaryota; Metazoa; Chordata; Aves; Columbiformes; Columbidae.